UCCUCGGUAGUCUAGCGGUUAAGAUAGUACGUUCUCACCGUGCGGUCCCGGGUUCGAUUCUGUUAUCUAGAUUCCCGGUCGAGGAA
This 86-nucleotide transfer RNA is filed under the name Cryptomonas sp. RNAcentral describes it as "tRNA-Glu". The record is from RNAcentral. Lineage: Eukaryota; Cryptophyceae; Cryptomonadales; Cryptomonadaceae.